This 260-nucleotide ribosomal RNA is filed under the name uncultured bacterium. RNAcentral describes it as "partial 16S ribosomal RNA". It matches the Rfam family "Bacterial small subunit ribosomal RNA", at positions 99 to 354 of the family's 1533-position model. The record is from RNAcentral.
CGCACGGGUGAGUAACGCGUAUGCGACCUGCCCGUUGCAGGGGGGAUAAUCGGGAGAAAUCCCGUCUAAUACCGCGUAACGCCGCGGGGCUGCAUGGCCCUGCGGCCAAAGGGAGCGAUUCCGGCAACGGAUGGGCAUGCGUGACAUUAGCUAGUUGGCGGGGCAACGGCCCACCAAGGCAACGAUGUCUAGGGGUUCUGAGAGGAAGGUCCCCCACACUGGUACUGAGACACGGACCAGACUCCUACGGGAGGCAGCAG